RNAcentral lists this ribosomal RNA (492 nucleotides) under uncultured bacterium. RNAcentral describes it as "partial 16S ribosomal RNA". It matches the Rfam family "Bacterial small subunit ribosomal RNA", at positions 29 to 507 of the family's 1533-position model. The record is from RNAcentral.
AGUGAACGCUGGCGGUAGGCCUAACACAUGCAAGUCGAACGGCAGCACAGUAAGAGCUUGCUCUUACGGGUGGCGAGUGGCGGACGGGUGAGGAAUACAUCGUAAUCUACUUUUUCGUGGGGGAUAACGUAGGUAAACUUACUCUAAUACCGCAUACGACCUACGGUUGAAAGCAGGGGAUCUUCGGACCUUGCGCGAUUGAAUGAGCCGAUGUCGGAUUAGCUAGUUGGAGGGGUAAAGGCCCACCAAGGCGACGAUCCGUAGCUGGUCUGAGAGGAUGAUAAGCGACACUGGAACUGAGACACGGUCCAGACUCCUACGGGAGGCACCAGUGGGGAACAUUGGACAAUGGGCGCAAGCCUGAUACAGCCAUACCGCGUGGGUGAAGAAGGCCUUCGGGUUGUAAAGCCCUUUUGUUGGGAAAGAAAAGCAGCAGGUUAAUACCCCGCUGUUCUGACGGUACCCAAAGAAUAAGCACCGGCUAACUUCGUG